UGAAAAUACAAGAAGAGAAAUUCCUCUCAGAACUGGCAAGGGACUGAAUACUGACUCCAAAACUUGCUACACUACAGGAGAAAGAACUUCAAAAGGAAUCUCUGGCAAGCACUUCUUUACACAUCAAGCACAAAACUUCAAGAGAAAUACUAAGUUCUGAGGAUAGGCGUUCCCGUGCUGUCACAGGCACCACCAAUGCGAAGAUGGGUCUUUCCCAGAUGACUAUCCAAAUGGGAUGAGGACACAUAUUCAGGAGAAAGUGUGCAACUGUGUCAUGAUGUGUUCAAAGCACGUGUGCUGCUGAAGUUCUCUGCAAAGCAUUUGUCUGGCCUCAAGUACACCCUUGGCUCAGUAGCUCAGCGGUUUCCUUUCCUUUAGCAGCCCGCAGUCCAAGGAGGAGCACCUCAGAGGGCUGGCCGGGGGCCACGAAGCCUUCCAAACUCUGUUAGAAUAGCGGGAAGGCCAGCUCCCCUCUGAAGAGGCAGAUGGCGAAACAUCCUCUUGGCUCUUGUUCAUCCAGCCAUAUUGGUGCAGAUACCGCUGAAAAAGGCCAGCAAGUUCUCCCAGGCCAGGCAAA
Molecule: long non-coding RNA, 577 nt
Filed under: Fukomys damarensis (Damara mole-rat)
Lineage: Eukaryota; Metazoa; Chordata; Mammalia; Rodentia; Bathyergidae
Description: lncRNA (ENSFDAG00000033522.1)
Source: RNAcentral